RNAcentral lists this ribosomal RNA (253 nucleotides) under uncultured bacterium. RNAcentral's name for it is "partial 16S ribosomal RNA". It matches the Rfam family "Bacterial small subunit ribosomal RNA", at positions 524 to 776 of the family's 1533-position model. The record is from RNAcentral.
UACAGAGGGUGCAAGCGUUGUUCGGAAUCAUUGGGCGUAAAGCGCACGUAGGCGGCUUUGCAAGUCAGGUGUGAAAGCCUGGGGCUCAACCCCAGAAGUGCAUUUGAAACUGCAGAGCUUGAGUCUUGGAGAGGGCAGUGGAAUUCCGAGUGUAGAGGUGAAAUUCGUAGAUAUUGGGAAGAACACCGGUGGCGAAGGCGGCGACCUGGUCCGAUACUGACGCUGAGGCGCGAAAGCGUGGGGAGCAAACAGG